ACUACGGGAGGCAGCAGUGGGGAAUAUUGCACAAUGGGGGAAACCCUGAUGCAGCGACGCCGCGUGAGUGAAGAAGUAUUUCGGUACGUAAAGCUCUAUCAGCAGGGAAGAAACUGACGGUACCUGACUAAGAAGCCCCGGCUAACUACGUGCCAGCAGCCGCGGUAAUACGUAGGGGGCAAGCGUUAUCCGGAUUUACUGGGUGGAAAGGGAGCGUAGACGGCAGCGCAAGUCUGAAGUGAACUCCCAUGGCUUAACCAAGGAACUGCUUUGGAAACUGUGCAGCUGGAGUGCAGGAGAGGUAAGCGCAAUUCCUAGUGUAGCGGUGAAAUGCGUAGAUAUUAGGAGGAACACCAGUGGCGAAGGCGGCUUACUGGACUGUAACUGACGUUGAGGCUCGAAAGCGUGGGGAGCAAACAGGAUUAGAUACCCCAGUAGUC
This 440-nucleotide ribosomal RNA is filed under the name uncultured bacterium. RNAcentral describes it as "partial 16S ribosomal RNA". It matches the Rfam family "Bacterial small subunit ribosomal RNA", at positions 338 to 795 of the family's 1533-position model. The record is from RNAcentral.